This is a non-coding RNA of Paramuricea clavata, 378 nucleotides long. NCBI's taxonomy places the organism in Eukaryota, Metazoa, Cnidaria, Anthozoa, Malacalcyonacea, Plexauridae. The record is from the annotation of a GenBank genome assembly.
CUUGUCAACAAACAAAACGAAGAAUGAUUAAUUGAACCACAUGCAACAAUGGGAAUGAAAUAACUCUUAAACAUUGCAAUUCUACAUAAGGUACCGGUCAUUAUUUAUCGAAGCGGUGGAUAGGUAAAAAAAGGGGAUGGGUCACAAGACUUUACAGAAAAAAGGCGGGGGGGAUCAUCAUUCAUUAUAAACCCUAUGCCAACAGUUGGUAAAAAUUUCGAGUCUUUUCAAUUUUCAUUUAAAUUAAUUAACAAUUGACAGCAUACACUGAACAGUUCGUCAACGAAGGGGAAGAGGUACGUUAAAGUAAAAUUUAAUUACGUUAAACUUUAAAGAAAUGAUCAAAUAAAAAGUUCUAAGUAUGUCAAAAGAUGUAUA